AGUCGAACGCGCGUCUCAGGAGCUUGCUCCUGUGACGCGAGUGGCGGACGGGUGAGUAACACGUAGGCAACCUGCCCAUCAGACCGGGAUAACCACGGGAAACCGUGACUAAUACCGGAUAAUCCUUUUCCUCACAGGAGGGGAAGUUGAAAGGCGGUCUUUUGACUGCCACUGAUGGAUGGGCCUGCGGCGCAUUAGCUAGUUGGUGGGGUAAGGGCCCACCAAGGCGACGAUGCGUAGCCGACCUGAGAGGGUGAUCGGCCACACUGGGACUGAGACACGGCCCAGACUCCUACGGGAGGCAGCAGUAGGGAAUCUUCCGCAAUGGACGAAAGUCUGACGGAGCAACGCCGCGUGAGUGAAGAAGGGUUUCGGCUCGUAAAACUCUGUUGUCAGGGAAGAACGUCCCCGUGAGUAACUGCACGGGGAGUGACGGUACCUGACCAGAAAGCCACGGCUAACUACGUGCCAGCAGCCGCGGUAAUACGUAGGUGGCAAGCGUUAUCCGGAAUUAUUGGGCGUAAAGCGCGCGUAGGCGGUCUGUUAAGUCUGAUGUGAAAGCCCCCGGCUCAACCGGGGAGGGUCAUUGGAAACUGGCAGACUUGAGUGCAGAAGAGGAGAGUGGAAUUCCAUGUGUAGCGGUGAAAUGCGCAGAGAU
RNAcentral lists this ribosomal RNA (658 nucleotides) under Salinicoccus hispanicus. RNAcentral's name for it is "bacterial SSU rRNA". It matches the Rfam family "Bacterial small subunit ribosomal RNA", at positions 60 to 697 of the family's 1533-position model. Lineage: Bacteria; Bacillati; Bacillota; Bacilli; Caryophanales; Staphylococcaceae. The record is from RNAcentral.